This 230-nucleotide ribosomal RNA is filed under the name Escherichia coli. RNAcentral describes it as "partial 16S ribosomal RNA". It matches the Rfam family "Bacterial small subunit ribosomal RNA", at positions 1072 to 1303 of the family's 1533-position model. The record is from RNAcentral. Lineage: Bacteria; Pseudomonadati; Pseudomonadota; Gammaproteobacteria; Enterobacterales; Enterobacteriaceae.
AUGUUGGGUUAAGUCCCGAAACGAGCGCAACCCUUGUCUUAUGUUGCCAGCAUUUGGUUGGGGACUCAUGAGAGACUGCCGGGGUCAACUCGGAGGAAGGUGGGGAUGACGUCAAAUCAUCAUGCCCCUUAUGUCCAGGGCUUCACACAUGCUACAAUGGUCGGUACAACGCGCAGCGACACUGUGAGGUGGAGCGAAUCGCUGAAAGCCGGCCUUAGUUCGGAUUGGGG